AGAGUUUUAUCCUGGCUCAGGACGAACGCUGGCGGCGUGCCUAAUACAUGCAAGUCGAGCGAGCUUGCCUAGAUGAUUUUAGUGCUUGCACUAAAUGAAACUAGAUACAAGCGAGCGGCGGACGGGUGAGUAACACGUGGGUAACCUGCCCAAGAGACUGGGAUAACACCUGGAAACAGAUGCUAAUACCGGAUAACAACACUAGACGCAUGUCUAGAGUUUGAAAGAUGGUUCUGCUAUCACUCUUGGAUGGACCUGCGGUGCAUUAGCUAGUUGGUAAGGUAACGGCUUACCAAGGCGAUGAUGCAUAGCCGAGUUGAGAGACUGAUCGGCCACAAUGGAACUGAGACACGGCCCAAACUCCUACGGGAGGCAGCAGUAGGGAAUCUUCCACAAUGGACGAAAGUCUGAUGGAGCAACGCCGCGUGAGUGAAGAAGGGUUUCGGCUCGUAAAGCUCUGUUGGUAGUGAAGAAAGAUAGAGGUAGUAACUGGCCUUUAUUUGACGGUAAUUACUUAGAAAGUCACGGCUAACUACGAGCCAGCAGCCGCGGUAAUACGUAGGUGGCAAGCGUUGUCCGGAUUUAUUGGGCGUAAAGCGAGUGCAGGCGGUUCAAUAAGUCUGAUGUGAAAGCCUUCGGCUCAACCGGAGAAUUGCAUCAGAAACUGUUGAACUUGAGUGCAGAAGAGGAGAGUGGAACUCCAUGUGUAGCGGUGGAAUGCGUAGAUAUAUGGAAGAACACCAGUGGCGAAGGCGGCUCUCUGGUCUGCAACUGACGCUGAGGCUCGAAAGCAUGGGUAGCGAACAGGAUUAGAUACCCUGGUAGUCCAUGCCGUAAACGAUGAG
RNAcentral lists this ribosomal RNA (845 nucleotides) under uncultured bacterium. Its description in RNAcentral is "bacterial SSU rRNA". It matches the Rfam family "Bacterial small subunit ribosomal RNA", at positions 8 to 813 of the family's 1533-position model. The record is from RNAcentral.